RNAcentral lists this ribosomal RNA (253 nucleotides) under uncultured bacterium. RNAcentral's name for it is "partial 16S ribosomal RNA". It matches the Rfam family "Bacterial small subunit ribosomal RNA", at positions 524 to 776 of the family's 1533-position model. The record is from RNAcentral.
UACGAAGGGGGCUAGCGUUGUUCGGAUUUACUGGGCGUAAAGCGCACGUAGGCGGUUCGUUAAGUCAGGGGUGAAAUCCUGGAGCUCAACUCCAGAACUGCCUUUGAUACUGGCGAUCUUGAGUCCGGAAGAGGUGAGUGGAACUCCUAGUGUAGAGGUGGAAUUCGUAGAUAUUAGGAAGAACACCAGUGGCGAAGGCGGCUCACUGGUCCGGUACUGACGCUGAGGUGCGAAAGCGUGGGGAGCAAACAGG